RNAcentral lists this ribosomal RNA (433 nucleotides) under uncultured bacterium. RNAcentral's name for it is "partial 16S ribosomal RNA". It matches the Rfam family "Bacterial small subunit ribosomal RNA", at positions 29 to 507 of the family's 1533-position model. The record is from RNAcentral.
AACGAACGCUGGCGGCAUGCCUAACACAUGCAAGUCGAACGAGACCUUCGGGUCUAGUGGCGCACGGGUGCGUAACGCGUGGGAACCUGCCCUUAGGUUCGGAAUAACUCCCCGAAAGGGGUGCUAAUACCGGAUAAUGUCUUCGGACCAAAGAUUUAUCGCCUUUGGAUGGGCCCGCGUUGGAUUAGCCAGUUGGUAGGGUAAAAGCCUACCAAGGCGACGAUCCAUAGCUGAUCUGAGAGGAUGAUCAGCCACACUGGGACUGAGACACGGCCCAGACUCCUACGGGAGGCAGCAGUGGGGAAUAUUGGACAAUGGGCGAAAGCCUGAUCCAGCAAUGCCGCGUGAGUGAUGAAGGCCUUAGGGUUGUAAAGCUCUUUUACCCGGGAUGAUAAUGACAGUACCGGGAGAAUAAGCGCCGGCUAACUCCGUG